Non-coding RNA from Peromyscus maniculatus bairdii (prairie deer mouse), 1242 nucleotides. The record is from RefSeq and is a predicted model, not a curated record. Lineage: Eukaryota; Metazoa; Chordata; Mammalia; Rodentia; Cricetidae.
AUGUCACUACUCAGUGUUUCAGAGUUUGGAUUAUUUGGAUCAUUUCAGAUUUCACAUUCAAAUUAGGAACCAUACAGUUUCUGUGAAGGAAAAGUAUCUAUGGGGUUUGUGUUGUAUGAAGAUUAAGACAUCCAAGGAACUUCUUAAAACAUGCAGGUCAAAAAUGACUUAUCUGUUAUAUAUUGAGGGGUUAAUGCACUUAGCCAGUGAAUAGCCUUCCAUAGAGGUUGAUGAGAAUGCUGCUCAAGCUGCUGUCUGUAAGUUUAGCUUUUCAUAAACCUACACCCAUACCAUGUGUUUUCCAUGUCUUUCCUUAAAGAGCUCUAGUGCCCCGUCAUUGAACUGGUCACUCCCAAGACCACAUUGUAUCUGCCCCUCAAAAUCCUGCUAAUUUAUACACGGCUGGCAGCAUGAUUAUGAAGGAAGGAGCACAGGAGCAGCUCAGCUGUACCUUUUUGCUUUUUAUUGGGAUCAUUAAAAGAAAACCAUGGGAGCGCCCGGAGAUCCCGUGUCUGUGUCUUGCUUCAACAGUGUUUGGACGGAGCAGACCCGGGGACUCCCUUUGUUAGCGUCCAGCCGCCUCCCAGUGUCUCCAGUCGCAGCCUCUGGGACCAUCUCCUCGCAGCCUUCGGAUCCCAGGACCAGCCAGCACCGUCUCUUCGCGGUUAGCUCCAUACUGCGUAUCAGCCAUGAGCUACCAGGUCCGUCAGAAUUAUGCCAUCGAAGUGGAGGCUGCAGUGAACCGCCUGGUCAACUUGCACCUGCGAGCCUCCUACACCUACCUCUCUUUGGGCUACUAUUUUGACCGGGAUGACGUGGCUCUGGAGGGUGUUGGCCACUUCUUCUGCGAAUUGGCCUAGGAGAAGUGCGAGGGCGCCGAGCUGCUGCUCAAGAUGCAGAACGAUCGCGGAGGCCGGGCACUCUUCUAGGACGUGCAGCAGCCAUCUCAAGAUGAGUGGGGUAAAUCCCAGGAGGCCAUGGAAGCUGCCUUGGUCCUGGAGAAGAGCCUGAACCAGGCCCUUUUGGAUCUUCAUGCCCUGGCUUCUGCUCAUACAGAUCCUCACCUCUGUGACGUCCUGGAAAACCACUUCCUGGAUGAGGAGGUGAAGCUCAUCAAGAAGAUGGGCAGCCACCUGACUAACAUCCUUAGGGUGGCUGGGCCACCAGCCAGCACAGACUGGUGUGCCCCCACCAUCUCUGGGCGAGUACCUCUUCGAGAGGCUCACUCUCAAGCAUGACUAG